CUGGGAUUAGAUACCCUGUUAUUUUAAAUUAAAUAUGAAAUUUCUUGAAAAUUAAUAGUUAAAUUCUUUAAAUUUAAAAAAUUUGGCGGUAUUUAAAUUUAUUAGAGGAACUUGUUUUUUAAUUCGAUAAUACACGUAGAUCUUACUUAAUUUUUAAAAAAAUUUGUAUAUCGUUGUUAUAUUGAUUAUCUUUAAAGGGGUAUAAAUUUUCUAAUUUUUAGUAUUAUUAAAGUAAAUCAAAUCAAGGUGCAGUUUAUAAUUAAGUAGGGAUGAGUUACAAUAAAAAAUAUUUAUAAUGGAUUGAAAUUUUAAAUAAUUUUAUGAAAGUGGAUUUAAGUGUAAAAUAGUUAAUAAAAAUUUUUUGAUAAUAAAGUUUUAAAUAUGUACAAAUCGCCCGUCACUCUCUGA
Molecule: ribosomal RNA, 408 nt
Filed under: Paramanota furcillata
Lineage: Eukaryota; Metazoa; Arthropoda; Insecta; Diptera; Mycetophilidae
Description: partial 12S ribosomal RNA
Source: RNAcentral